Long non-coding RNA from Piliocolobus tephrosceles (Ugandan red Colobus), 378 nucleotides. RefSeq lists it as uncharacterized. NCBI's taxonomy places the organism in Eukaryota, Metazoa, Chordata, Mammalia, Primates, Cercopithecidae. The record is from RefSeq and is a predicted model, not a curated record. The transcript has 3 exons.
GUUUUCAUAGACUUCUGUUUCUGCAUCUAGAGUUGGGCAGGUGAAAUAUCCACCGUCUUUCUUGACCUGAAUCAAGCUCAGAGUGACAGUGUUUAAGUGAUCCAGAGGCCUAAGAGUAUUUCCAUGCCAAGUUCAAGAAGACAGAGGGAAGAGAGGAGUGAGAGGCAGGGCACGAAGUGGGGAACGAAUUGACUCUGCACCUGCAAAUGCCUAGCAGAUUAUAUGUCAAUUUCCAUGUGAAAUGAGAGACCAUGGGGAUUCAUUAUUGCUGGAGUUGAUGGUAUUGCAGUUUUACAACCAUCUAAUAAAUUAGCAUUUAAUACUGAGAGAUUUCAUCUUAAACUUAGAGGAUUGCUUUGUUUUAAAGAAGAUCUUUGC